RNAcentral lists this ribosomal RNA (462 nucleotides) under uncultured bacterium. Its description in RNAcentral is "bacterial SSU rRNA". It matches the Rfam family "Bacterial small subunit ribosomal RNA", at positions 1 to 507 of the family's 1533-position model. The record is from RNAcentral.
CGAUAUCGACGAGUUGAUCAGUGGCUCAGAACGAACGCUGGCGGCAGGCCUAACACAUGCAAGUCGAGCGCCCCGCAAGGGGAGCGGCGCACGGGUGAGUAACGCGUGGGAAUAUGCCCUGGGGCUGGGGAUAACGGCGGGAAACUGCCGCUAAUACCCGGUACGCCAUGAGUGGGAAAGGAGCAAUCCGCCCUGGGAGUAGCCCGCGUUGGAUUAGCUAGUUGGUGUGGUAAGAGCGCACCAAGGCGACGAUCCAUAGCUGGUCUGAGAGGAUGAUCAGCCACACUGGGACUGAGACACGGCCCAGACUCCUACGGGAGGCAGCAGUGGGGAAUAUUGGACAAUGGGGGCAACCCUGAUCCAGCCAUGCCGCGUGAGUGAAGAAGGCCCUAGGGUUGUAAAGCUCUUUCGCACGCGACGAUGAUGACGGUAGCGUGAGAAGAAGCCCCGGCUAACUUCGUG